This 1797-nucleotide ribosomal RNA is filed under the name Triticum aestivum (bread wheat). RNAcentral describes it as "partial small subunit ribosomal RNA". Lineage: Eukaryota; Viridiplantae; Streptophyta; Magnoliopsida; Poales; Poaceae. The record is from RNAcentral.
AUGGAGAUGCGGUUGGAAAACGGAGUACUUGCCUCGUCAUUUAUUGGAGGACCACGAGAUAAACUUCGUCGAUAUCUCGACGCUAUGGCUUUAGUUAGAAAAUAUGGUAAGCCAGACGUAUUCCUAACAAUGACCUGCAACCCCAACUGGGAGGAGAUAACACGUGAACUAGAGAAUGGACAAACAGCACAAGAUCGCCCAGACAUUGUAGUUCGUGUUUUUAGGGCGAAGCUACAAGAAAUGAAGAAGGAACUAUUUGAGAAGGGCAUUCUUGGAAAGGUUCAGGCAUAUACAUAUGUCGUAGAAUUCCAAAAGAGGGGAUUACCCCAUGCUCACUUUUUGCUCAUCAUGACUCGAAAAUACAAGUACACAUGUCCAGAGCAGUAUGACAGAAUCAUAUCCGCAGAGCUCCCUAACAAGCACAAGUACCCAGAACUAUACAAGAUGGUAAUCAAACAUAUGAUGCAUGGUCCUUGCGGUGCAUUGAACAAAUUUUGUCCAUGCACAAAGAAUCGUCCAUCAUGCAAGAACAAUUAUCCAAGACCAUUUAACGAAACUACGAUUCAAGGCAAGGACUCCUACCCAAUAUACAGGAGACGCAACGACGGCCGGACUGAAACGGUCCGAAAUUGCAAACUAGAUAACAGGUGGGUAGUUCCUUACAAUCCCUAUCUGUUAAGGAUGUUCAACUGCCACAUAAAUGUUGAGAUAUGCUCAAGCAUUAAAGCCGUGAAGUACCUCUUCAAGUACAUCUACAAGGGUCAUGACCGAGCAUCCGUAUCCGUAACAGACAAAGUAGACGAAGAAGAAAUCGACGAGAUUAAGCAGUACAAAGACGCCCGGUGGGUGACACCUCCUGAAGCACUGUGGAGAAUAUAUGGCUUCGAACUAAGUAAAAUGCACCCACCAGUCUUGCAACUGCAGCUACAUCUCCCAAAUAUGCACAUGGUUUCAUAUCAUGGCAUGGAAAAAUUACAGAAUGUUAUCGACCGUGAAGACACGAAAAGAUCAAUGUUGACUGCGUACUUUGAAGCAAACAGAUGGUAUGCAAAAGCACGAGGCAUACUAUACAGAGAGUUUCCGGAACAUUAUACUUGGCAGAGUCAGGGGAAAUUUUGGCAACAGAGGAAGCGAGCCGCUGUGUUCCAGGUUGGCAGGAUCGUCUCAGCACACCCGGCUGAAGGAGAACGAUACUAUCUUCGAGUCCUCCUAAACCACGUGACAGGCGCCACCAGCUACGAAGACCUACGAACAGUCGAUGGACAAGUAAUGCCAACCUUUCGAGAAGCUGCAGAAAAAAGAGGUCUCACUGAGGCAGAUAGCACAUUGGAUGACUGCAUGACAGAAGCGGAGUUGUUUCGGAUGCCAUCAUCGCUACGAAGACUAUUUGCAACAAUCUUGGUUUUUUGCGAGCCCAGCGACGUACGCAGCCUCUGGAACAAACACCUUGAUGCAAUGUCAGAGGACUACAAUAGAAAUUGCAAAUGCAAACACACAGUCGAACAGAUGGUUCUGAAAAAUAUAAGAGACAUGUUGCACUCAAUGGGAAAAGACAUAGAAUCAUUUCCUCUUCCAAAGAUCGAUGAACAGCAUGAGAUGACAGACGACAUACCGAGGGAGAUCAUUGAGGAAACUUCCAUCGAGGUGGAACCCGAGGACACAUCUUUGCAUAAGAACCUAAACAAGGAACAGAAGGAGGCCUACGACGAAAUCCUAUUGACGACCAUAGAGGAGGUAUAUUCUUUGUCGAUGGACCUGGAGGCAUGGGAAAAACUUUUCUUUACAGGGCUCUCUUAG